UCCACACAGAGAGACUAGGGCUGAAUAUGGGUCUGUCUGUCCACACAGCGAGACUAGGGCUUUAUCUGGGUCAGUCUGUCCACACAGAGAGCCUUGGGCUUUAUCUGGGUCAGUCUGUCCACACAGAGAGACUAGGGCUGUAUCUGGGUCAGUCUGUCCACACAGCGAGACUAGGGCUUUAUCUGGGUCAGUCUGUCCACACAGCGAGACUAGGGCUGAAUAUGUUUCUGGGUCUGUAUCUGGGUCAGUCUGUCCACACAGAGAGACUAGGGCUGAAUAUGUUUCUGGGUCUAUAUCUGGGUCAUCUGUCCACACAGAGAGACUAGGGCUGAAUAUGUUUCUGGGUCUGUAUCUGGGUCUGUCCUCUACACAGAGAGACUAGGGCUGAAUAUGGGUCUGUUUCUGGGUCUGUCCUCCACACAGAGAGACUAGGGCUGAAUAUGGGUCUGUUUCUGGGUCAGUCCUCCACACAGAGAGACUGGGGCUUUAUCUGGGUCUGUUUCUGGGUCAGUCCUCCACACAGAGAGACUGGGGCUGAAUCUCAAGCUGACCCUUGGCCGCUAAUCCCUUUGUGUUUGAUAGUGAUCACUCAACUGCC
Long non-coding RNA from Oncorhynchus tshawytscha (Chinook salmon), 598 nucleotides. NCBI's taxonomy places the organism in Eukaryota, Metazoa, Chordata, Actinopteri, Salmoniformes, Salmonidae. The record is from Ensembl.